This is an RNA transcript of Paramacrobiotus metropolitanus, 3294 nucleotides long. RefSeq lists it as uncharacterized. The transcript has 9 exons. The record is from RefSeq and is a predicted model, not a curated record. NCBI's taxonomy places the organism in Eukaryota, Metazoa, Tardigrada, Eutardigrada, Parachela, Macrobiotidae.
CACUUCCAUAAAACAAAAACCACAAUCAACGUAUACAUUAAAAAUCGGGCGUGAUCACUUUCACUAGUUUUAGCAUUUGAACUAGAAUUUUUCUUAUCCUGACACUAUAAGAAAUUUCCGGUGAAGUACUAAUCUGGCUGUCAUGAAAAUGGAACGCGACGGUAGGCAGAGUGGGUCUUGUAGAGGCAAUGGUUCCGCGAAGCGUAGCCCGGAGCCUACAUGGCAGAAGUCUUGGACGAGGUCCUGCGGUUGUGACAACAGGCAAAAUGCAAUGAACUGCGUAGUGACCUGAAGAGUGGACGGGUUGUGCAUUACUGCAUAGUGCUGCUGCACUUAAUGGUUGUGCGGAUGGUGUGAAUUGUUAACUGUGGGAAAUGGCCGGUACGGAAGUGAUAAAUGCCGACCGGAUAAACCACGGCUCCAUGUUUGAGGGGGGAGCGGCACAGCACUGGAUCUAACUGCUGCCGUGUGCCAUUCCAUUCGUGCCACGAAAGUUGGUGCAGUAUGUCUGUCCGUUGGGCACCACGAAGUUUUCUUCGAUAGAAAGCGCGCUCAGUAUGGGAUCAGACAACCACUGUCUCCGGAGCGCGUCAGCAUUGGAAGUGCGUUGUCGAUUGUGGCGGUUACGUUGGGCAAGGCUGGCGAAAACCUUGUCGGAUGUACUGCAGCUACAGCAGACUCAAAAAACGCCGAUGAGAAGAUAGCGCGGCAUUAUCCUUUUAAGUGGGGAGAAUAUCGAUUGUGAUGACGGUUUUCAGCAGAAAAUUGGUUUUUUUCACUGGAAAAAUGAUGAAGAAAUCUCCGGCAACAAAUUUCGGGUUGUUUUUAUUAAUUUCUGCGAGUAUUUGGAAAUUGUGUGCACCAUGCCCAACAAAAUCUGAGGAUAGGUACUCUCGAGCGGAGGCCGCAGUGGAUCGCAUAACGACGAUACUGGAAGAAUGCUGGAACUAUACCGCCUAUCGCCAGAUCGAGCAGGCGCACAUAAGGUACUCGAGGAAAAAUCCUGUAUGGCUGCCGGCGCUCUCUUCGCCCACACCCGAUCCUAAAGGUAACGUGCGGCGGCCGUAUUUGGACGAAACGAUCAGCCUGGUAUGUGCGCCUGGCCCGACUCAGCCGAAUAUUGUGUGGAAACAUAACGGUCACGUGAUGGCCGCCCAGCAGACCGUGGGCGACCUUCGCUAUACCCGCACCAGCGACAACACCCUUAUCCUGUACAAUAUCACCUACGCGGCGUGGGGCAAGUUCGAAUGUCUGCAGCGGUGUCAGCAGAAUGGGAUGGAAGCGUUGUGCUUGCAAGCGGAGCACUGGGUGUUUCCCAAACCGUUGCCUGAAGGCCACGAGGUGUUCGCGCAGCGAAUGCCACCGGUGAUUGUGCCGCGAUAUAUGCCGUUUUCGUCCACCUGCCAACUGGCGUUCCCUUGUAGCCAGGAUCCGCAGCAGCACUUCAUCUGGCGCUAUCACGGAAUAUAUCUUUCCUGGCCGCCGGGUCACUACCUACAGCAGACGUCCUGCAUCGAAACCGACCGACAGACGCUGAUGGUCCACACCAACACCUCCGAAAUAACAGGGGCCGAUGGCCGCCUACACUGUGCUUCGACGCUGACCCUGCAUGUUCCCUGGCCGAAUCACACGGGCGCCAAGCUAGCGUGUUGGGCGCGCUCUGACACCACCCAGCAACAGUGGUUCAUCCUUACCACUCCCGUGCAGUUCAACGGAAGCCUGCCAUUUCCAGAAUAACUGACGGUGGCUUGUUUCGUAUAGUGCAGCGACCAUCCACGGGAAAGAUAUGGAAGAAUUUGUAAACAUCACACGCUCCGCUUUGCGAGAAGAUAUGGCAGCCGCAUUGAAGCCGUGGACGGAACAAAUAAACGACCAUGCAGAUCGAAAUAAGGACCAAAUCAUGUCCGGGUCUUCGGUGAAUUCCUGGAUAUCAUGGGCGAUAUCCAGUGCCGCACUGGUCGUCACUUCAAGUGCGGCUACUUGGCAGAUUACGCGAUGCUAUUAUGACAGAUCGGUGUGCCUGUGCUGCAGACGGGAAGCAUCCAGUUUGGCUUGAACUGGUGGCAUCCGGCGCCAAAACCUGGAAUUCUGUAAAAUUUAUGUAAAUAUCCUGGAAAAUUGUUUUUGUAUAAAUUAUUUAUGUGUUACAUACAAGAUAUGCCUCUGACAUUCGCGCUUGGUGCAAUUUGAAUGUAAUUAAUAAUUUGGAAUUUUAUUUAAUGUUAUUAUUGGAUGAAUAAAGGUCAAAGUUUUCACUUCAGAAGCUUGUGAUCAUGUAAAUCCUGGUGCUUCAUAAUUAUGUCGUGAAUGCACGUUUAAUUAAUAUAAGUCCCGUGUACGUGAGUUACUGUAUGACUGCGCUUUUAUCACCACUGACCUGAGCUGCAACUUUUCGGCCUGACGAAAUCCACUAAUCGAAUAAGAUCAGCUCUUCCAUUUGCAAGCGGUGAUCGCUAACUUCUCCAUCAUGCCCGUGACCCGUGACCGGGACUACCAUGACGUCCAGACACCAACUAGUACUCCGCCAACGCCUCCAUUAUAAGGAAGCCUGCCAGAUGCGUAGAAGGGCAGCCUGGUCGAUACGUUGCGCAAGGCACGACCAGCAGCAUUCGUGGGCGGGCCAAGGCCCUAGGGUUUUCGAAAUGAUGGCCGAGACGAUGCCGCGGUCCCGCCAGUCAACAAUAAAAACGGCGCUGUUAAGACGUGGAUCGGGUCAGGGCCGAGGCAAAAAAUGUUUGGCUGCGCGAAUCUUCGAUUUAAAGGGUGACUCGAGAUGACAUUUAUCUAUACACAUAUGCAAGCGAUAUAUUUACGCACAUGCAUCAAGUAAAUCGCUCGUAUUAUAUAAAGCUGGUUGACCUUAAAGAAUAUUUUCUGAGUUUCUCUCAAAGCCUGUUAACAAUAAUUUUUAGCCACUGGUCGCGCGUUUAUGAUAAAAGGGAUACUGGUUGGAAUAUUUUCUCUCCUUCACGUUAAAAUAAAGUGCUUGCAGUUUACGCAACGUCGACCAACUGACCAUCAAAACCCGUGCGGCAACGAAGUGUGAAGAGACAACGCUAUCCUGGAGUUGGUUAAUUCGUUUUUGAUGAAUCGCCUUUUUGGUGUACUUCGACGCUUCGAGAUAUCACACGUUCCGGCUCCCCUUGCAAAUCGGUUACACGUCGCGGCUCUCACACCGCUAGCACAUACACAGUUACACACCAGUUAACAGCACACACACACAUAAUUAUGUGUCACGGUGUGUAUGCGUGUGUGUGUGUAUUAAGUGAAGCUGUUUGUACGUUGGCUGGUAAA